AGGAUGAACGCUGGCGGCGUGCUUAACACAUGCAAGUCGAACGAUGAAGCCGGAGCUUGCUCUGGUGGAUUAGUGGCGAACGGGUGAGUAACACGUGAGUAACCUGCCCUUGACUCUGGGAUAAGCACUGGAAACGGUGUCUAAUACCGGAUACGAGCUUUAGCCGCAUGGGCUAGGAGCUGGAAAGAAUUUCGGUCAAGGAUGGACU
Molecule: ribosomal RNA, 208 nt
Filed under: uncultured soil bacterium
Lineage: Bacteria
Description: partial 16S ribosomal RNA
Rfam family: Bacterial small subunit ribosomal RNA
Source: RNAcentral